CACACACACACACACACAGACACGCGCGCGCGCGCACACAGGGUCACACUCAUACGCCCGCUCCAAGCACACACCACCAGACCGCAGGUCCCUAUGCCCCUGGAUGGUGAAGGCGGAUUGGGAUUUGGCAAGCGAUGCAAGAACUAUAAGUCUGGCGCUGGCCCCCGGAAGCUACUGGAGCAUCACUAGGUGUUGUCACCGGGAAGCGGGGCUGAAGGAUCGACAUUGUGAAACUGGCUGCUUAAGAAGAGCAGCAUCUCAGGUCCUAGCAUCUCAAAAGUGCUUGGAAAAUAGCUCUUUCUUGGGGAAUUGCCAACACUUACACAUAGGAUUUCUGUACUUAAAAGGUCCACCAACUUCUCCUCUUUCUACCAGCAGAGGGCAUGUUUCACAGCCCUGUCUCUUUAUGCCCAUCGACUAAAGGAUGAAUAAGAGAUACUUACAGAAAGCAACAAAAGGAAAGCUGUUAAUAAUAAUAUUUAUUCUAACCUUGUGGGGUAAACUAGCAUCUGGCGCAAACCACCAUAAAGCUCACCAUGUUAAAACUGGAACCUGUGAGGUGGUGGCGCUCCAUAGAUGUUGUAAUAAGAACAAGAUAGAAGAAAGGUCACAGACGGUCAAGUGCUCAUGCUUCCCAGGACAGGUGGCAGGCACCACAAGAGCCGCUCCUUCUUGUGUUGAUGCUUCAAUAGUGGAGCAGAAAUGGUGGUGUCACAUGCAGCCAUGUCUUGAAGGAGAGGAAUGUAAAGUUCUUCCAGACCGGAAAGGAUGGAGUUGUUCCUCGGGAAAUAAAGUGAAGACAACGAGGGCAAACGUGUAAAACUCUUCAAAGUCCGAAUGGAGAAGUAGAAAGAGAAGGUUUCUGCUGUGCCCGAUGACAAUUUUUGAUUAUUCCACAUACAAAAUAACACUCUGGCUCCACGGUAGAGCACUAGUUGUGAUGAAUUCUAGUGUUUGUCGGAUUUUAAGGAAAGGCCAGAAGUUUCGUUGAGUCAAAACCAUUCCAGAAAUGUGCUCCUGUCCUGGUUUAUUUCUCACAAAGCAGCAGGUAACCCAUUAGCUAAGGACAAAUCAAGCCAGUUCUAAGGCUGAGAACAUUAAACAUAACCCAUUUCCGGAAUGUAUUACUGAGAUCAACCAGAAGGAAGCUUUUUAUACUGUGAGGAGUAUACCCUUUGAUAAUACCCUCAUAUUUUUCCCAAUGGGAUUCUUGGCUUGCAAUUAGCAACCCUUUGAGAUCAAAACUUCUACAAAGUCAACUAAGAACUUCUUUGGGUGGUGAAGCUCUCAAAGAGGUUAGACAAUUCACACUUAUAAAUUGCACAUGCUAGAAGAAUUUAAAGUUGCAAUCCAAGGAGUUGAUACGCUGGAAGAUGAUGAAAGAGACGCUAAACUCUUGAGUUCUUGACUUCAGAUGUAAUUGCUUUUCAAGCUUCUGAAAGCAGUCUACAAAAUACUGGCUGGUCCCCCAUUCCUGGACUCUAUGUUUCAUUGGCUGAUGGGACUGUACACACCUUUAAUAAUCUUUCUUCUGUAGAACUUGUCCUCUGGCAUGGCAUACAUUUGGACUUUUUGAUUUGUCUCUUACUCUUGGAACUCUCAAAGCCUACAUAUUUUAACAUCUUAAAAUUGCUUUUGUUAUAGGAAUGGAAAUAUAUAUCUAUUGUUAAUGAUGAUUGUUGGCAAGUAAUAGUUAUCUGAUACAUCAAUCAUAUAAAAUGUGUAGACAAGCAACAUCUUUCCUUCCCUAAGGCAAAUGGACUCCUCUAGCUCCUUGUCAAUUAAAUAAGUAGUGGUCAGAGCUAGAGUGCCAUUUUUAUUAUAAGAUAUUUUGACUUUAUAACAUUUCCUUUCAGAUUUCUUUUUUUUUCUCUCCCCCAAAAUGUGUUAUGUGCUUUGGUUCCUUAAUGUGCCAUUCUUCCCCCAAUUACACCAAUCAAAAAUAAUCUGUCAUUGAUAUUAAGUAGUCUUGAUUUUUAAAAAUUGCCAGGGAUGCAUGCCAGAUUAUAAUGUUGAACUUAGAUGAUGUUCAUUUAAAACCCCUUUUAGCUUUUGUUUCUCUCUUUUCUUUUUUUCUUUUUUCAAAAGACAGUCUCUGACUUGAACAAAAUGGUGAUCUGGAUGCUUAUGUAUUUGUCUGCUAAGUCUCUCUGUUGAUAGAGGAAGGAGUUCACUUCUCCCAGUCGCCAGUUCACAAAUAUUUGCUUACAGUUAUCCAACUCAAACCGUUUCUUAGGCCAGAAUUUUUUCUGCAUUUUAGUGGCUAGCUUUUGAAUUUGUGAUUUGCUGUUCCACAAAAAGUCUUCUAAAUAUUUAAAAAGCCUUAAACAUCUAUGAACUUGUUUUCUAAGUUAUUACAGAAUGUAUAAUUUUAUACUCCAUUUGCUAUAUUCCACUUGUAGCAUGGAAGCAGAGGAGAAUGGACAUUGCAUUCCUGUUCUGUAUCAUUUCUACUACAUAAUUCUGCAGAUGGGAAUGAAGAGAAGGGUGGGACUUCAGUACUUAUAUUUUGUAAACAAACAUGAAGACUAUACAGAUGUAGGCCUAUUGAAAAUAAUUGUGUGGGCAAGCUCAUUCAAGCAGCUGGCAUGAGGCAUCAAUAUGCUGGAGAAGCAGGGAAAAUCUUUUUAUUUUUACAACUCAUUGACAUGGCCAAUUAGACAUAAAUUGGGUUCCAUGAUGGAUGUGCACCCUGGAGUGCUUUGAUAAUUCACUAUAUGCAACACUUUUCCAAGACCAAUUCAUUACCUCUGCUGUUUUAUUGUGCAGGAGAGGUAAAAUGUAACAAUUAUUGGAAGCUAAAUUGGAGAUGUAGACUUAUAGCAUUGUACUGAAGAAUAUUGCACACCAUCAACAUUUCCGGGGAAAGAGAUGUGUGUCUGCCUCCAUUUUAAUUAGGAGUGGUUACUAGGACCAGCUAGCUGGCUUUUUUUUUUUUUUUCUUUCAAUAAGCUGUAUAGAACUGGGCAGAAAGGCAUGUGGGUUGGGGAGGGAGAACAUCUUUUGAAGGAUUAUCCCUUUUUUUGGAACAGUGCAAAGUGAAGACUAUAUUAUUUUGUAGGCUAUGCAUUUGGCCCCCAUUUGUUCUUGAUUCUGCAUCAUGCUUCUCCAUAUUGUUUCCUUUGGCUCUUCUUGAAAACAACACUGGAAAUUCUGUAUUAUAUACAAGUGUAAACACAUGCAUAUCAAUAGGUGAAAUAAAUGGACUUUCAGAUAUUCUAACUAGAUUAUCCCCAGUAGAUUAAUGUUGUGAACUAUUCAGAAAAAGUGAAUAAAAUUGUGAUAUAAAAUUGA
This is an RNA transcript of Antechinus flavipes (yellow-footed antechinus), 3294 nucleotides long. It is a transcript of the gene named TAFA chemokine like family member 2, with no coding region annotated. The record is from RefSeq and is a predicted model, not a curated record. Lineage: Eukaryota; Metazoa; Chordata; Mammalia; Dasyuromorphia; Dasyuridae. The transcript is spliced from 7 exons.